CUUCCAAGCUGGGAGAGGUACACGCAAAAUCGAAAGAAAUGACGAAGACGCACACCAUUCUUCUAGCACUUAGCUUGGUAGUUCUGUUCUCCUGCAAUUUUGUGGAGGGUGGAGUAUACAUGAACCAAGGAACACUUUCUCGCAAAGGACUAAAAGAAGAAUGCAAGCUAGUCACUACUGGAGUAAGUCCAUCACUUAGCAGUUUAUCAGGACAGGCAACUAGCAACAUUAAUGCAGGACAGGCAACUAACAACAACGCUGACAGCACAAACACAGAUAUGGCAGCUACAACCACAGACUCCCACCAUGAUCUCUCAGCAGAUCAGUACCGAAGGUUCAUCCGCAACAAUCAGAAAAAACCUUGAUGAAGGAUUCAAACAUCAGAACCAUGCGCAGCUAUUAACCUGAUCGACGAGGGAAAGUAUAUCCAGUUAGCAACUUUAAUCAUAAGUUGUCAUGUACACAAAAUUUCCACCACAAACUGUCUACUGUGUGCAGUAGUAUUUGCCUUGUACUAUAUAAUCCAUCUGCUGCGUAUUAGAAUAUCAAGCUUUUCCAAUGCUCAUGCAUGUAAUGUACUAAUGUGUACAUUAUACUGAGACAAAUAAAUAACAUGUCCAUGCUCCAUGGUUA
Molecule: long non-coding RNA, 633 nt
Organism: Phragmites australis (common reed)
Lineage: Eukaryota; Viridiplantae; Streptophyta; Magnoliopsida; Poales; Poaceae
Exons: 2
Source: RefSeq, a predicted model, not a curated record